Molecule: ribosomal RNA, 423 nt
Filed under: uncultured bacterium
Lineage: Bacteria
Description: bacterial SSU rRNA
Rfam family: Bacterial small subunit ribosomal RNA
Source: RNAcentral
GAAUUUUGGACAAUGGGGGCAACCCUGAUCCAGCCAUCCCGCGCGUGCGAUGAAGGCCUUCGGGUUGUAAAGCACUUUUGGCAGGGACGAAAAGGCUCUGGCUAAUACCUGGAGCUGCUGCCGGUACCUGCAGCAUACGCACCGGCUAACUACGUGCCAGCAGCCGCGGUAAUACGUAGGGUGCAAGCGUUAAUCGGAAUUACUGGGCGUAAAGCGUGCGCAGGCGGUUUGGCAAGAAGGAUGUGAAAUCCCAGGGCUUAACCUUGGAACUGCAUUCUAAACUGCAAGGCUAGAGUAUGUCAGAGGGGGGUAGAAUUCCACGUGUAGCAGUGAAAUGCGUAGAGAUGUGGAGGAAUACCGAUGGCGAAGGCAGCCCCCUGGGAUAAUACUGACGCUCAUGCACGAAAGCGUGGGGAGCAAACA